UACAGAGGUCUCGAGCGUUAGGCGGAAUCACUGGGCUUAAAGCGUGUGUAGGCGGGUCGUUAAGUCCCUUGUGAAAUCCCAUGGCUCAACCAUGGAACUGCUGGGUAUACUGGCGAUCUUGUGCAACCUAGGGGCGAGCGGAACAGAUGGUGGAGCGGUGAAAUGCGUAGAUAUCAUCUGGAACGCCAAUGGUGAAAACAGCUCGCUGGGGGUUUGCAGACGCUGAGACACGAAAGCCAGGGGAGCGAACGGG
RNAcentral lists this ribosomal RNA (253 nucleotides) under uncultured bacterium. Its description in RNAcentral is "partial 16S ribosomal RNA". It matches the Rfam family "Bacterial small subunit ribosomal RNA", at positions 524 to 776 of the family's 1533-position model. The record is from RNAcentral.